UCCGACUCCUCCAUUUUUAUUCUGCAAUCUAAGGAAAUGAAAUCUGCAAAGUCCAUGGAACUAGCUUAGUCUUUAUUUGAGACUGAAGUCUUCACGGCAAGCGUUUUCUCGGCGUAUCAUUGACCAAUUUCUGUUUGAUUCUCUCUAUUUUGUUUCCCGAUGAGCAUUUUAUGUGCUGUGUCAUACACCGAUUUCUCUUCGAUUCUUCCCAGUUUGCUUGCAAAGUUGAUUCCGAGGCAGAGAUGAAGGGCACAGAGGCUAGCCAUCACAAGCUCUCAAACGGAAGCUCUUCGAUCAAUCUGAACAUCACAAGCUCUCCAAUCGAAGGAGACUAUAACUCACACCCAGAAGCUAGGAAGGGAUAUCAAAGGAAGCGAAAGCAGUGGAAGACCUAGCCUUCUUUUUCUUAUUAAGAGAUCCAAGACCAUUCUUCUCCAUCAUAGAUCCUUUAUGUGCCUUUUGAAGAGGUUUUGGUAUAAAUUGUAUCAAUUUGGAGGAUUUCACUUGACGUUUCAAUCAGAAGACGACGGCCCAAGCGCCCAGAGGCCGACGGCUGUAUCUGAAGAUCAGAGCUGCAAGGCAGUGUUAGAGAGGGUAAAAUUUUUGGACAAUCCGUCAAAAGAAGAGUCAGCUUCAUGUUUUACGGAUGUUAUGACUCAGAAUUUCAAUACUUUAUUUAAAGAUCUUAUUCAAAUGAUUGUAAGCGGAUAUUGAUACUGAGCGCUGUAUUCUUUGCUUUCGUUUUGCAGCUUACGAUGUCAGGGGAUCACCGUUCUCGCAUAACAAGAUUGGUCAGUAUUUCUACCUUGUAGUGACUGGAAUCUGAACUGGUGAGUGAGAAGUUGAAAGGCUUACCUUAUGGUAUCCAUUUGGUCAAGUAAUACUUUGAGGUCUAAGGGAGGUGAGUUGUCGAACCAUAACUUGUUGGCAAUGCCGGUAAGACUUGAGCAAAAGGACAAUGUUGACGCUCUUGUACAGAAGUUUCUUCGGCAAAUUUUGUGCUGAGGCGUUCCUCGGUAUCAUCGUCGGUCUAGAACAGAGGUGAGUUGAGGAAGACUAGAACUGGGUCGACCGAUCUUCAUCGACAAGGAACCGUAUCAGCCAGCAAUAACUGGAGGUUUAAGCGGAUUAGUGUGAUAUCAGGUUUAUUGCAGAGGCAAACUGAAGAGAAUACGAAAUGAACACAUACAGUUUUGUAAUCAGAUCAGAUUAUAUAUAGAAAAAGAUUUAAAUAUAUGUUAAUAUUUAAUUAUACACUCAAUUUGAGCAUGUUUCAUUUGAAAAAAAUGCUCAUAUUAAAUUGCUUUUAUA
Brassica oleracea var. oleracea is the source of this 1311-nucleotide RNA transcript. RefSeq lists it as uncharacterized. The record is from RefSeq and is a predicted model, not a curated record. The transcript is spliced from 4 exons. Lineage: Eukaryota; Viridiplantae; Streptophyta; Magnoliopsida; Brassicales; Brassicaceae.